CCUACGGGUGGCAGCAGUGGGGAAUAUUGGGCAAUGGGCGCAAGCCUGACCCAGCAACGCCGCGUGAAGGAAGAAGGCUUUCGGGUUGUAAACUUCUUUUCUUAGGGACGAAGCACGUGACGGUACCUGAGGAAUAAGCCACGGCUAACUACGUGCCAGCAGCCGAGGUAAUACGUAGGUGGCAAGCGUUAUCCGGAUUUAAUGGGUGUAAAGGGAGUGUAGGCGGGACUGCAAGUCAGAUGUGAAAACCAUGGGCUCAACCUAUGGCCUGCAUUUGACACUGUAGUUCUUGAGUACUGGAGAGGCAGGCGGAAUUCCUGGUGUAGCGGUGAAAUGCGUAGAUAUUAGGAAGAACACCGGUGGCGAAGGCGGUCUGCUGAACAGCAACUGACACUGAGGCGCGAAAGCGUGGGGAGCAAACAGGAUUAGAUACCCGGGUAGUC
RNAcentral lists this ribosomal RNA (443 nucleotides) under uncultured bacterium. Its description in RNAcentral is "partial 16S ribosomal RNA". It matches the Rfam family "Bacterial small subunit ribosomal RNA", at positions 338 to 795 of the family's 1533-position model. The record is from RNAcentral.